AGUGAACGCUGGCGGCAGGCCUAAUACAUGCAAGUCGAACGGCAGCACAGCAGAGCUUGCUCUGCGGGUGGCGAGUGGCGGACGGGUGAGGAAUACAUGGGAAUCUGCCCAGUCGUGGGGGAUAACGUAUGGAAACGUACGCUAAUACCGCAUGCGCCCUACGGGGGAAAGCCGGGGACCGCAAGGCCUGGCGCGAUUGGAUGAGCCCAUGUUCGAUUAGCUAGUUGGCGGGGUAAAGGCCCACCAAGGCGACGAUCGAUAGCUGGUCUGAGAGGAUGAUCAGCCACACUGGAACUGAGACACGGUCCAGACUCCUACGGGAGGCAGCAGUAGGGAAUAUUGGACAAUGGGGGCAACCCUGAUCCAGCCAUGCCGCGUGAGUGAAGAAGGCCCUCGGGUUGUAAAGCUCUUUCGGCAGGACGAAACGGUGGUCCCUAAUACGGGCUACUAAUGACGGUACCUGAAGAAGAAGCACCGGCUAACUACGUG
Molecule: ribosomal RNA, 489 nt
Filed under: uncultured bacterium
Lineage: Bacteria
Description: bacterial SSU rRNA
Rfam family: Bacterial small subunit ribosomal RNA
Source: RNAcentral